UCUUCUUCGUCUCUGCGUCGCCUACAUCCUUGUAGCUUCUGAUCGUCCAUGCACUGAACGGAGAAGAAAACCCGACGAUGAGAAGCCCGAGUCUUUACCGCCAACCUCUGCCAUUUCCGGCGAUUACGGCCACCGUUUGGGCCACCAGUGUCUAGGAGACGUAUUGUGAAGCCUUCUAGGCUGUAGCACAAGGAACCCUCGAUUCAUCCCCUUUCCAUUCCCGGCAGUGCGUUGGGCUUGGUUGCAGAAGACUU
Molecule: long non-coding RNA, 254 nt
Filed under: Rosa chinensis
Lineage: Eukaryota; Viridiplantae; Streptophyta; Magnoliopsida; Rosales; Rosaceae
Description: sRNA RchiOBHm_Chr2g0084201
Source: RNAcentral